Molecule: ribosomal RNA, 471 nt
Filed under: uncultured bacterium
Lineage: Bacteria
Description: bacterial SSU rRNA
Rfam family: Bacterial small subunit ribosomal RNA
Source: RNAcentral
GACGAACGCUGGCGGCGUGCCUAACACAUGCAAGUCGAGCGGAGAUAAGCGGAAGGUAACUGAAGCUUAUCUUAGCGGCGGACGGGUGAGUAACACGUGGGCAACCUGCCUUGAAGUGGGGGAUAACACCGGGAAAUCGGUGCUAAUACCGCAUAACAUACACAAACUGCAUGGUAAGUGUAUCAAAGGAGCAAUCCGCUUUAAGAUGGGCCCGCGGCUGAUUAGCUAGUUGGUAAGGUAACGGCUUACCAAGGCGACGAUCAGUAGCCGACCUGAGAGGGUGACCGGCCACACUGGAACUGAGACACGGUCCAGACUCCUACGGGAGGUAGCAGUGGGGAAUAUUGCGCAAUGGGGGGGAACCCUGACGCAGCAACGCCGCGUGGAGGAAGAAGGUCUUCGGAUUGUAAACUCCUGUCUUCUGGACGAAUAAUGACGGUACCAGAGGAGGAAGCCACGGCUAACUACGUG